CGGAAUGUGGCUCAGUUUGGUAGAGCGCUGCGUUCGGGACGCAGAGGUCGCAGGUUCAAAUCCUGUCAUUCCGA
RNAcentral lists this transfer RNA (74 nucleotides) under Lachnospiraceae bacterium. Its description in RNAcentral is "tRNA-Pro". It matches the Rfam family "tRNA". From Rfam's summary of the family: Transfer RNA (tRNA) molecules are approximately 80 nucleotides in length. Lineage: Bacteria; Bacillati; Bacillota; Clostridia; Lachnospirales; Lachnospiraceae. The record is from RNAcentral. RNAcentral also lists the same sequence under 1 other name.